This 715-nucleotide long non-coding RNA is filed under the name Eutrema salsugineum. RNAcentral describes it as "long non-coding RNA (ESAL_LNC000736)". Lineage: Eukaryota; Viridiplantae; Streptophyta; Magnoliopsida; Brassicales; Brassicaceae. The record is from RNAcentral.
CUUCUUCUCUCAUGCAUAUAGAGUAGUCACCAACUAUUACUUUUUUUUCCUUACUGUUCUAACACCUUAACUCUAGGACUUAGACUCUCUUACACAAGCCACACUACAUUGAUCAUUACAUUUAACUACUCUUACUAUUGUUGCUUACUUGCUUAAACUAUAACAACUCUUAUAGCUUCUACUUGCUUCUUUUGCAGGUUUCUUAACAAGACAUUAUUCUCCUGGGCCUAGUAAAACGCAGUCCAUUAUUUCUUCAUAGGCCCGUUGUAGACAGUAAGCCCAUCUCCUCCAUUGGUUGACUUUUGCCUCUUGACCUCUUCUUCUCUUUCUUCUUCACGACACUCUUCUCCUUCUCGACCUCUUCUAGUUUCUCAUUGAGUUUGAUUCUUGGUUUCUCUUUUCUUUUCAGACCCAAUCAAAGGAUCACUGCUCAACAAAAAGAGAUAGGAUAAAAAGAUUGGAAUGAUCAAAUGAUUUUUUUUAUUAAAAAAAAUGUACAACAAAAAUAUGGAAACAGAGUGGCAAACAUAACAAUGAGAUGUAAUUUAAGAAAAAAAUAGGAAAUGAGGUCUGACCCCAAAAAAUGAAUGAACACACUAGAAAGUAGAAUGUGGAAAAUUAGACAAUAGUGUGUAAUGUAUAUAAUUAUUUGUUGUAUAUUAUGAAUAUGUUUCUAAAUAUAUCAAGAUAAUAUAAUACAUAUUAAUUAACUUAA